GACGAACGCUGGCGGCGUGCUUAACACAUGCAAGUCGAACGGAAAGGCCCUGCUUUUGUGGGGUGCUCGAGUGGCGAACGGGUGAGUAACACGUGAGUAACCUGCCCUUGACUUUGGGAUAACUACAGGAAACUGGGGCUAAUACCGGAUAGGAGCUCCUGCUGCAUGGUGGGGGUUGGAAAGUUUCGGCGGUUGGGGAUGGACUGGCGGCUUAUCAGCUUGUUGGUGGGGUAGUGGCUUACCAAGGCUUUGACGGGUAGCCGGCCUGAGAGGGUGACCGGCCACAUUGGGACUGAGAUACGGCCCAGACUCCUACGGGAGGCAGCAGUGGGGAAUAUUGCACAAUGGGCGGAAGCCUGAUGCAGCAACGCCGCGUGCGGGAUGACGGCCUUCGGGUUGUAAACCGCUUUCGCCUGUGACGAAGCGUGAGUGACGGUAAUGGGUAAAGAAGCACCGGCUAACUACGUG
This 468-nucleotide ribosomal RNA is filed under the name uncultured bacterium. RNAcentral describes it as "partial 16S ribosomal RNA". It matches the Rfam family "Bacterial small subunit ribosomal RNA", at positions 28 to 507 of the family's 1533-position model. The record is from RNAcentral.